GGCCUUUUGAUUAUGAUUUAAGGUCUUGCCUGCCCAAUGAUGUAAAAGUUAAAUGGCCGCAGUACUUUGACUGUGCAAAGGUAGCAUAAUCACUAGUUUUUUAAUUGAAAGCUUGUAUGAAAGGUUUGAUGAGAAAAGAGCUGUCUCUAUCUAAAAUUUUAGAAAUUUAUUUUUAAGUUAAAAAGCUUAAAUUUUUAUUGAAGACGAGAAGACCCUAUAGAGUUUUAUUUAUAUAGUAAUAAACAGUAUUUAGUAUUUAAAAUUUUAUUAYUAUAUAAAUUUAGUUGGGGAGAUUGAAAAAUUUGUAAAACUUUUUUUUUAUUUUUACAUUUAUUUGUGAGUAUUUGAUCCUUUAUUAGAUUAUAAGAUGAAAUUACCUUAGGGAUAACAGCGUAAUUUUUUUUAGAGUUCUUAUCGAAAAAAAAGAUUGCGACCUCGAUGUUGGAUUAAAAUUUAAUUUUUGGUGCAGAAGCUAAAGAAUUAGGUCUGUUCGACCUUUAAAUUUUUACAUGAUCUGAGUUUAAACCGGCGUAA
RNAcentral lists this ribosomal RNA (534 nucleotides) under Kyklioacalles teter. RNAcentral describes it as "partial 16S ribosomal RNA". It matches the Rfam family "Bacterial large subunit ribosomal RNA", at positions 1819 to 2624 of the family's 2925-position model. The record is from RNAcentral. Lineage: Eukaryota; Metazoa; Arthropoda; Insecta; Coleoptera; Curculionidae.